CCUACGGGAGGCAGCAGUGGGGAAUAUUGCGCAAUGGCCGAAAGGCUGACGCAGCGACGCCGCGUGGGGGAUGAAGCAUUUCGGUGUGUAAACCCCUGUUGCUCGGGACGAACAACUGGAUUUGUCCAGUCUGACGGUACCGGGUGAGGAAGCACCGGCUAACUCCGUGCCAGCAGCCGCGGUAAUACGGAGGGUGCGAGCGUUGUCCGGAAUCACUGGGCGUAAAGGGCGCGUAGGCGGUCUGCUAAGCGUGUGGUGAAAGCUCGGGGCUCAACCCCGAGUCUGCCAUGCGAACUGGUGGACUAGAGCACUGUAGAGGCAGGUGGAAUUCCGGGUGUAGCGGUGGGAUGCGUAGAGAUCCGGAAGAACACCGGUGGCGAAGGCGGCCUGCUGGGCAGUAGCUGACGCUGAGGCGCGACAGCGUGGGGAGCAAACAGGAUUAGAUACCCUGGUAGUCCACGCCGUAAACGAUGGGGACUAGGUGCUUGGGGGAGCGACCCCUCGAGUGCCGGCGCUAACGCAUUAAGUCCCCCGCCUGGGGAGUACGGCCGCAGGCUGAAACUCAAGGAUUGACGG
RNAcentral lists this ribosomal RNA (576 nucleotides) under uncultured bacterium. Its description in RNAcentral is "bacterial SSU rRNA". It matches the Rfam family "Bacterial small subunit ribosomal RNA", at positions 338 to 916 of the family's 1533-position model. The record is from RNAcentral.